Molecule: ribosomal RNA, 848 nt
Filed under: uncultured bacterium
Lineage: Bacteria
Description: bacterial SSU rRNA
Rfam family: Bacterial small subunit ribosomal RNA
Source: RNAcentral
GGAGCGAGGGCAGCUUUACCAUGCAGUCGAACGGCAGCACGGACUUCGGUCUGGUGGCGAGUGGCGAACGGCUGAGUAACAUAUCGGAACGUAUCCAAUAAUGGGGGGAUAACUAAUCGAAAGGUUGGCUAAUACCGCAUACGCCCUACGGGGGAAAGCCAGGGACCUUCGGGCCUGGCGUUAAUGGAGCGGCCGAUAUCUGAUUAGCUAGUUGGUGGGGUAAAGGCCCACCAAGGCGACGAUCAGUAGCUGGUCUGAGAGGACGACCCGCCACCCUGGAACUGAGACACGGUCCAGACUCCUACGGGAGGCAGCAGUGGGGAAUUUUGGACAAUGGGCGCAAGCCUGAUCCAGCCAUUCCGCGUGAGUGAAGAAGGCCUUCGGGUUGUAAAGCUCUUUCGCACGGGAAGAAAACUUACGCUCUACCACAGCCUGAGGUUGACGGUACCUUGAUAAGAAGCACCGGCUAACUACGUGCCAGCCGCCGCGGUAAUACGUAGGGUGCGAGCGUUAACCGGAAUUACUGGCCGUAAAGCGUGCGCAGGCGGUUUUGUAAGUCCGAUGUGAAAUCCCCGAGCUCACCUUGGGAACUGCGUUUGAAACUACAAGACUAGAAUAUGCCAGAGGGGGGUAGAAUUCCACGUGUAGCACUGAAAUGCGUAGAGAUGUGGAGGAAUACCAAUGGCAAAGGCAGCCUCCUGGGACUCUAUUGACGCUCAUGCACGAAAGCGUGGGGAGCAAACAGGAUUAGACACCCCGGUAGUCCUGGCCCUAAACCAUGAAUGCUUGGCGUGGAGGGUCCCCAUCCCUGCCGCGCCGAAGCUAACGCAUUAAGCUUUCUGCCUGGG